UAGAGUCUGACACACAAUCUACAAGGUGAUACAUCAGACAGAUUUUGUCCAGUAGAAUGUGAUACACAAUCUACAAGGUGAUGCAUCAGACAGGUGUUGUCCAGUAGUCUGAUAC
Long non-coding RNA from Haliotis rubra (blacklip abalone), 115 nucleotides. RefSeq lists it as uncharacterized. The record is from RefSeq and is a predicted model, not a curated record. NCBI's taxonomy places the organism in Eukaryota, Metazoa, Mollusca, Gastropoda, Lepetellida, Haliotidae. The transcript has 4 exons.